RNAcentral lists this transfer RNA (68 nucleotides) under Neogonodactylus oerstedii. RNAcentral's name for it is "tRNA-Asn". The record is from RNAcentral. Lineage: Eukaryota; Metazoa; Arthropoda; Malacostraca; Stomatopoda; Gonodactylidae.
UUAACCAAAACCAAAAAGAGGUAUAUUAUUGUUAAUAAUAAAAUUGAAAAAUUGAUUUUCUGGUUAAG